RNAcentral lists this non-coding RNA (46 nucleotides) under Schistosoma mattheei. Lineage: Eukaryota; Metazoa; Platyhelminthes; Trematoda; Strigeidida; Schistosomatidae. The record is from RNAcentral.
UAACGGCUGAGGAGUCCCAUGUUGGGACGAAACGGCCGUCCAGUGA